RNAcentral lists this ribosomal RNA (507 nucleotides) under Corydalus cornutus (eastern dobsonfly). Its description in RNAcentral is "partial 16S ribosomal RNA". It matches the Rfam family "Bacterial large subunit ribosomal RNA", at positions 1819 to 2594 of the family's 2925-position model. Lineage: Eukaryota; Metazoa; Arthropoda; Insecta; Megaloptera; Corydalidae. The record is from RNAcentral.
GUCUUUUAGAUAAUAAUUUAAAGUCUGGCCUGCCCACUGAAUAAUAAUUUAAAGGGCCGCGGUAUUUUGACUGUGCAAAGGUAGCAUAAUCAUUAGUCUUUUAAUUGAAGGCUUGUAUGAAUGGUUGGAUGAAAUAUUAACUGUCUCAAAUUAAUAAGAUAGAAUUUAAUUUUUAAGUUAAAAAGCUUAAAUAUUAUUAGAGGACGAGAAGACCCUAUAGAUUUUUAUAAUUUUUUAUUUAUAAAUAAUUUGGUUGAUAAAAAUUUUUAGAUAAAAAAUUAUUUUAUUGGGGUGAUAAAUAAAUUUAAUAAACUUUAUAAAAUAUAAACAUUAAUGUAUGAAUUGUUGAUCCAUUUUUAGUGAUUAUAAGAUUAAAUUACCUUAGGGAUAACAGCGUAAUUUUUUUAGAGAGUUCAUAUCGAUAAAAAAGUUUGCGACCUCGAUGUUGAAUUAAAGAUUAAUUUAGGUGUAGAAGUUUAAAUUUUUGGUCUGUUCGACCAUUGAAUC